CCUACGGGAGGCAGCAGUGGGGAAUAUUGCACAAUGGGCGAAAGCCUGAUGCAGCGACGCCGCGUGAGGGAUGACGGCCUUCGGGUUGUAAACCUCUUUCAGCAGGGAAGAAGCGAAAGUGACGGUACCUGCAGAAGAAGCGCCGGCUAACUACGUGCCAGCAGCCGCGGUAAUACGUAGGGCGCGAGCGUUGUCCGGAAUUAUUGGGCGUAAAGAGCUCGUAGGCGGCUUGUCACGUCGGGUGUGAAAGCCCGGGGCUUAACCCCGGGUCUGCAUUCGAUACGGGCUAGCUAGAGUGUGGUAGGGGAGAUCGGAAUUCCUGGUGUAGCGGUGAAAUGCGCAGAUAUCAGGAGGAACACCGGUGGCGAAGGCGGAUCUCUGGGCCAUUACUGACGCUGAGGAGCGAAAGCGUGGGGAGCGAACAGGAUUAGAUACCCUGGUAGUCCACGCCGUAAACGGUGGGAACUAGGUGUUGGCGACAUUCCACGUCGUCGGUGCCGCAGCUAACGCAUAGUUCCCGCCUGGGAGUACGGCCGCGAAGGCUAAACUCAAAGGAUUGACG
This 562-nucleotide ribosomal RNA is filed under the name uncultured bacterium. RNAcentral's name for it is "bacterial SSU rRNA". It matches the Rfam family "Bacterial small subunit ribosomal RNA", at positions 338 to 915 of the family's 1533-position model. The record is from RNAcentral.